This 253-nucleotide ribosomal RNA is filed under the name uncultured bacterium. RNAcentral describes it as "partial 16S ribosomal RNA". It matches the Rfam family "Bacterial small subunit ribosomal RNA", at positions 524 to 776 of the family's 1533-position model. The record is from RNAcentral.
AACGUAGGACGCAAGCGUUAUCCGGAGUUACUGGGCGUAAAGCGCGGGCAGGCGGCUCGAAACGUCUGAUGUGAAAUCUCCUCGCUCAACGGGGAGAGGCCAUUGGAAACGGUCGGGCUGGAGGGCAGUAGAGGCAGGCGGAAUUCCGGGUGGAGUGGUGAAAUGCGUAGAGAUCCGGAGGAACACCGGAGGCGAAGGCGGCCUGCUGGGCUGCACCUGACGCUGAACCGCGAAAGCCAGGGGAGCGAACGGG